This 2920-nucleotide ribosomal RNA is filed under the name Escherichia coli. RNAcentral's name for it is "partial 23S ribosomal RNA". It matches the Rfam family "Bacterial large subunit ribosomal RNA". The record is from RNAcentral. Lineage: Bacteria; Pseudomonadati; Pseudomonadota; Gammaproteobacteria; Enterobacterales; Enterobacteriaceae.
GUUAAGCGACUAAGCGUACACGGUGGAUGCCCUGGCAGUCAGAGGCGAUGAAGGACGUGCUAAUCUGCGAUAAGCGUCGGUAAGGUGAUAUGAACCGUUAUAACCGGCGAUUUCCGAAUGGGGAAACCCAGUGUGAUUCGUCACACUAUCAUUAACUGAAUCCAUAGGUUAAUGAGGCGAACCGGGGGAACUGAAACAUCUAAGUACCCCGAGGAAAAGAAAUCAACCGAGAUUCCCCCAGUAGCGGCGAGCGAACGGGGAGCAGCCCAGAGCCUGAAUCAGUGUGUGUGUUAGUGGAAGCGUCUGGAAAGGCGCGCGAUACAGGGUGACAGCCCCGUACACAAAAAUGCACAUGCUGUGAGCUCGAUGAGUAGGGCGGGACACGUGGUAUCCUGUCUGAAUAUGGGGGGACCAUCCUCCAAGGCUAAAUACUCCUGACUGACCGAUAGUGAACCAGUACCGUGAGGGAAAGGCGAAAAGAACCCCGGCGAGGGGAGUGAAAAAGAACCUGAAACCGUGUACGUACAAGCAGUGGGAGCACGCUUAGGCGUGUGACUGCGUACCUUUUGUAUAAUGGGUCAGCGACUUAUAUUCUGUAGCAAGGUUAACCGAAUAGGGGAGCCGAAGGGAAACCGAGUCUUAACUGGGCGUUAAGUUGCAGGGUAUAGACCCGAAACCCGGUGAUCUAGCCAUGGGCAGGUUGAAGGUUGGGUAACACUAACUGGAGGACCGAACCGACUAAUGUUGAAAAAUUAGCGGAUGACUUGUGGCUGGGGGUGAAAGGCCAAUCAAACCGGGAGAUAGCUGGUUCUCCCCGAAAGCUAUUUAGGUAGCGCCUCGUGAAUUCAUCUCCGGGGGUAGAGCACUGUUUCGGCAAGGGGGUCAUCCCGACUUACCAACCCGAUGCAAACUGCGAAUACCGGAGAAUGUUAUCACGGGAGACACACGGCGGGUGCUAACGUCCGUCGUGAAGAGGGAAACAACCCAGACCGCCAGCUAAGGUCCCAAAGUCAUGGUUAAGUGGGAAACGAUGUGGGAAGGCCCAGACAGCCAGGAUGUUGGCUUAGAAGCAGCCAUCAUUUAAAGAAAGCGUAAUAGCUCACUGGUCGAGUCGGCCUGCGCGGAAGAUGUAACGGGGCUAAACCAUGCACCGAAGCUGCGGCAGCGACACUGUGUGUUGUUGGGUAGGGGAGCGUUCUGUAAGCCUGCGAAGGUGUGCUGUGAGGCAUGCUGGAGGUAUCAGAAGUGCGAAUGCUGACAUAAGUAACGAUAAAGCGGGUGAAAAGCCCGCUCGCCGGAAGACCAAGGGUUCCUGUCCAACGUUAAUCGGGGCAGGGUGAGUCGACCCCUAAGGCGAGGCCGAAAGGCGUAGUCGAUGGGAAACAGGUUAAUAUUCCUGUACUUGGUGUUACUGCGAAGGGGGGACGGAGAAGGCUAUGUUGGCCGGGCGACGGUUGUCCCGGUUUAAGCGUGUAGGCUGGUUUUCCAGGCAAAUCCGGAAAAUCAAGGCUGAGGCGUGAUGACGAGGCACUACGGUGCUGAAGCAACAAAUGCCCUGCUUCCAGGAAAAGCCUCUAAGCAUCAGGUAACAUCAAAUCGUACCCCAAACCGACACAGGUGGUCAGGUAGAGAAUACCAAGGCGCUUGAGAGAACUCGGGUGAAGGAACUAGGCAAAAUGGUGCCGUAACUUCGGGAGAAGGCACGCUGAUACGUAGGUGAAGUCCCUCGCGGAUGGAGCUGAAAUCAGUCGAAGAUACCAGCUGGCUGCAACUGUUUAUUAAAAACACAGCACUGUGCAAACACGAAAGUGGACGUAUACGGUGUGACGCCUGCCCGGUGCCGGAAGGUUAAUUGAUGGGGUCAGCGCAAGCGAAGCUCUUGAUCGAAGCCCCGGUAAACGGCGGCCGUAACUAUAACGGUCCUAAGGUAGCGAAAUUCCUUGUCGGGUAAGUUCCGACCUGCACGAAUGGCGUAAUGAUGGCCAGGCUGUCUCCACCCGAGACUCAGUGAAAUUGAACUCGCUGUGAAGAUGCAGUGUACCCGCGGCAAGACGGAAAGACCCCGUGAACCUUUACUAUAGCUUGACACUGAACAUUGAGCCUUGAUGUGUAGGAUAGGUGGGAGGCUUUGAAGUGUGGACGCCAGUCUGCAUGGAGCCGACCUUGAAAUACCACCCUUUAAUGUUUGAUGUUCUAACGUUGACCCGUAAUCCGGGUUGCGGACAGUGUCUGGUGGGUAGUUUGACUGGGGCGGUCUCCUCCUAAAGAGUAACGGAGGAGCACGAAGGUUGGCUAAUCCUGGUCGGACAUCAGGAGGUUAGUGCAAUGGCAUAAGCCAGCUUGACUGCGAGCGUGACGGCGCGAGCAGGUGCGAAAGCAGGUCAUAGUGAUCCGGUGGUUCUGAAUGGAAGGGCCAUCGCUCAACGGAUAAAAGGUACUCCGGGGAUAACAGGCUGAUACCGCCCAAGAGUUCAUAUCGACGGCGGUGUUUGGCACCUCGAUGUCGGCUCAUCACAUCCUGGGGCUGAAGUAGGUCCCAAGGGUAUGGCUGUUCGCCAUUUAAAGUGGUACGCGAGCUGGGUUUAGAACGUCGUGAGACAGUUCGGUCCCUAUCUGCCGUGGGCGCUGGAGAAUUGAGGGGGGCUGCUCCUAGUACGAGAGGACCGGAGUGGACGCAUCACUGGUGUUCGGGUUGUCAUGCCAAUGGCACUGCCCGGUAGCUAAAUGCGGAAGAGAUAAGUGCUGAAAGCAUCUAAGCACGAAACUUGCCCCGAGAUGAGUUCUCCCUGACUCCUUGAGAGUCCUGAAGGAACGUUGAAGACGACGACGUUGAUAGGCCGGGUGUGUAAGCGCAGCGAUGCGUUGAGCUAACCGGUACUAAUGAACCGUGAGGCUUAACCUUACAACGCCGAAGGUGUUU